RNAcentral lists this ribosomal RNA (585 nucleotides) under Rhodotorula mucilaginosa. RNAcentral's name for it is "eukaryotic LSU rRNA". It matches the Rfam family "Eukaryotic large subunit ribosomal RNA", at positions 62 to 663 of the family's 3401-position model. The record is from RNAcentral. Lineage: Eukaryota; Fungi; Basidiomycota; Microbotryomycetes; Sporidiobolales; Sporidiobolaceae.
AAACUAACAAGGAUUCCCCUAGUAGCGGCGAGCGAAGCGGGAAGAGCUCAAAUUUAUAAUCUGGCACCUUCGGUGUCCGAGUUGUAAUCUCUAGAAAUGUUUUCCGCGUUGGACCGCACACAAGUCUGUUGGAAUACAGCGGCAUAGUGGUGAGACCCCCGUAUAUGGUGCGGACGCCCAGCGCUUUGUGAUACAUUUUCGAAGAGUCGAGUUGUUUGGGAAUGCAGCUCAAAUUGGGUGGUAAAUUCCAUCUAAAGCUAAAUAUUGGCGAGAGACCGAUAGCGAACAAGUACCGUGAGGGAAAGAUGAAAAGCACUUUGGAAAGAGAGUUAACAGUACGUGAAAUUGUUGGAAGGGAAACGCUUGAAGUCAGACUUGCUUGCCGAGCAAUCGGUUUGCAGGCCAGCAUCAGUUUUCCGGGAUGGAUAAUGGUAGAGAGAAGGUAGCAGUUUCGGCUGUGUUAUAGCUCUCUGCUGGAUACAUCUUGGGGGACUGAGGAACGCAGUGUGCCUUUGGCGGGGGUUUCGACCUCUUCACACUUAGGAUGCUGGUGGAAUGGCUUUAAACGACCCGUCUUGAAACACG